GUGGGGAAUCUUGCGCAAUGGGCGAAAGCCUGACGCAGCCAUGCCGCGUGAAUGAUGAAGGUCUUAGGAUUGUAAAAUUCUUUCACCGGGGACGAUAAUGACGGUACCCGGAGAAGAAGCUCCGGCUAACUUCGUGCCAGCAGCCGCGGUAAUACGAAGGGGGCUAGCGUUGCUCGGAAUUACUGGGCGUAAAGGGCGCGUAGGCGGAACGCUUAGUCAGAGGUGAAAGCCCAGGGCUCAACCUUGGAAUUGCCUUUGAUACUGGCUGUCUUGAGUUUGGGAGAGGUGAGUGGAACUCCGAGUGUAGAGGUGAAAUUCGUAGAUAUUCGGAAGAACACCAGUGGCGAAGGCGACUCACUGGCCCAAUACUGACGCUGAGGCGCGAAAGCGUGGGGAGCAAACAGGAUUAGAAACCCUAGUAGUCC
RNAcentral lists this ribosomal RNA (425 nucleotides) under uncultured bacterium. RNAcentral's name for it is "bacterial SSU rRNA". It matches the Rfam family "Bacterial small subunit ribosomal RNA", at positions 354 to 796 of the family's 1533-position model. The record is from RNAcentral.